RNAcentral lists this non-coding RNA (21 nucleotides) under Mus musculus (house mouse). Lineage: Eukaryota; Metazoa; Chordata; Mammalia; Rodentia; Muridae. The record is from RNAcentral. RNAcentral also lists the same sequence under 1 other name.
GUUAAGUAAGCCAGGUUCAGC